Molecule: ribosomal RNA, 938 nt
Filed under: uncultured organism
Description: bacterial SSU rRNA
Rfam family: Bacterial small subunit ribosomal RNA
Source: RNAcentral
CAGGAUGAACGCUGGCGGCGUGGAUGAGGCAUGCAAGUCGAACGGGUUCAGACCCGUGGCAGACGAGGUAGGAACACGUAGGUACGUACCAAGAAGUCAGGGAUAUUCCGGCGAAAGUCGGCGCAAUACUUGAUGGUCUCCCAAAUUCAUAUUUGGGAGUAAAGAUUUAUCGCUUCUUGAACGGCCUGCGGGCUAUCAGCUAGUUGGUACGGUAGCGGCGUACCAAGGCUACGACGGCUAGGGGAGGUGAGAGCCUGACCCCCACCGAUGGAACUGAGACACGGUCCAUACUCCUACGGGAGGCCGCAGUCGAGAAUCUUCCGCAAUGGGCGAAAGCCUGACGGAGCGACGCCGCGUGGUGGAUGAAGUCCUUAGGGACGUAAACACCUUUUAUGAGUGAAGAAGUUUAUUGACAUUAGCUCAUGAAUAAGGGGCUCCCAACUCUGUGCCAGCAGGAGCGGUAAUACAGAGGCCUCAAGCGUUAUCCGGAUUCACUGGGCGUAAAGGGUGCGUAGGCGGUUAUAUUAGUCGGGCGUAAAAUCCUAGGGCUCAACCUUAGGCUCGCGUUCGAAACGGUAUAACUAGGAGUAGUGAGAGGUGAACAGAACUCACGGUGUAGGGGUGAAAUCCGUUGAUAUCGUGGGGAAUACCAAAUGCGAAGGCAGUUCACUGGCGCUUACUCGACGCUGAGGCACGAAAGCGUGGGUAGCGAACGGGAUUAGAUACCCCGGUAGUCCACGCCCUAAACGCUGUCCGCUGGCUUUAGGGAGAAUCGACCCUCCCUGAGGCGAAGGUAACCCGUUAAGCGGACCGCCUGGGUAGUACGAGCGCAAGCUUAAAACUCAAAGGAAUAGACGGGGGCUCGCACAAGCGGUGGAUCAUGAGGCUUAAUUCGUCGAUAAGCGAAAAACCUUACCCAGGCUAGAAACCAUACUGCA